RNAcentral lists this ribosomal RNA (1338 nucleotides) under metagenome. RNAcentral describes it as "bacterial LSU rRNA". It matches the Rfam family "Bacterial large subunit ribosomal RNA", at positions 1564 to 2910 of the family's 2925-position model. The record is from RNAcentral.
UGAGUACGAGCUGCUACGGCAGCGAAGUGGGUGACGUCAAGCUUCCAAGAAAAGCCCUAUACCCGUUAAGGCAUGAUGGCCUGUACCCGAAACCGACACAGGUGGGGUGGUAGAGAAUACCGAGGGGCGCGAGGUAACUCUCUCUAAGGAACUCGGCAAAAUGGCCCCGUAACUUCGGGAUAAGGGGUGCCACCGCAAGGUGGUCGCAGUGAAGAGGCCCAGGCGACUGUUUACCAAAAACACAGGUCUCCGCUAAGUCGCAAGACGAUGUAUGGGGGCUGACGCCUGCCCAGUGCCGGAAGGUUAAGGAAGCUGGUCAGCGUAAGCGAAGCUGGCGACUGGAGCCCCGGUGAACGGCGGCCGUAACGAUAACGGUCCUAAGGUAGCGAAAUUCCUUGUCGGGUAAGUUCCGACCCGCACGAAAGGCGUAACGAUCUGGGCGCUGUCUCGGAGAGAGGCUCGGCGAAAUAGAAUUGUCUGUGAAGAUGCGGACUACGUGCACCUGGACAGAAAGACCCUAUGAAGCUUUACUGUAGCUUGGUAUUGUGCCCGGGCUCGCAAUGCGCAGGAUAGGUGGGAGGCUUUGAUCAUCGGCUUGCGGGUCGAUGUGAGCCAACGGUGAGAUACCACUCUUUGCGAGCUAGGGUUCUAACGGUCACCCGUUAUCCGGGGACCGGACAGUAUCAGGUGGGCAGUUUGACUGGGGCGGUCGCCUCCUAAAAGGUAACGGAGGCGCGCAAAGGUUUGCUCAGGCUGGUUGGAAAUCAGCCGACGAGUGUAAAAGCAGAAGCAAGCUUGACUGUGAGACCUACAAGUCGAACAGGGACGAAAGUCGGCUUUAGUGAUCCGACGGUUCUGAGUGGAAGGGCCGUCGCUCAACGGAUAAAAGUUACUCUAAGGAUAACAGGCUGAUCUCCCCCAAGAGUUCACAUCGACGGGGAGGUUUGGCACCUCGAUGUCGGCUCAUCGCAACCUGGGGCUGAAGUCGGUCCCAAGGGUUGGGCUGUUCGCCCAUUAAAGCGGUACGCGAGCUGGGUUCAGAACGUCGUGAGACAGUUCGGUCCAUAUCCGGUGCACGCGCAGGAACAUUGAGAGGAGUUCUCCCUAGUACGAGAGGACCGGGAGGAACGCACCUCUGGUGUACCAGUUAUCGUGCCAACGGUAAACGCUGGGUAGCCAUGUGCGGAGUGGAUAACCGCUGAAAGCAUCUAAGUGGGAAGCCCACCUCAAGAUGAGUGUUCCCAUGGCUUAAGCCAGUAAGGUCACGGGAAGAACACCCGUUGAUAGGCUCUACGUGGAAGCGCAGUAAUGUGUGAAGCGGAGGAGUACUAAUAGACC